GGGUUGCUGGGGUUGUGUAACUGUGCCUAGAGGGCGGGGUUCCUGUACAUUCCUACUUCACCAGAUAACCUGCCCCCAACACCACUUCAGCUUCUGCCAGACAGAUGGAACUCUCCAGCAUGAAAAUCUGCGCAGCCAUUCCAACAAGCAGGGCUCUGCCUGAGGUCGUCCGAAGGAUGCCGAGGAAAAGGAUAUCAGGACUGGAAGCGCUCUUACAGCAAGAUCCAGGUUUUUCAUUAGUCAAUACAGUGAAGGCUGGCAUGAUCAUCAGCUUCCCAUCAAAUAAUAUCUACUCAUCAGUGUGCUGUUGUCAAUCAGAGAUUUUCAAGUAUGAGUUCUCCAACUCAAAGAAAAGUAGCUGGAUCCAGGAAGAAAGGCAUUUGGGGAGGAACAACGUUCUUUGCAGUGCUCAUGAUGUGUCUCCAGAGAAAGUUACUUCAGCACUAAACAAACAAACAAACAACAACAAUAAACAACUUUCCUCUACAGUAUCUUCCAGGGCCUAAACUAUUAGACAGGUUCCUAAGUUUAUCCAGAUCUCUCCUAUGUCUGAAUUCUUGGUCAUCUUCCUUGUCUCUGGCUCCACAGGUAAAGAAGAAAUAAUAAUAAAGGAACAAAAAUCAUAUGUUUCUGUCGGGCUGACUCAUUCCACUUUUGAAGCACCCAGUGGAUUAAUUAGUCUUAUUAUUGCAUUUACUGUCACCUACACACUUGUUUGUGGGAAGGCACUCUUCUUGGCAUUUGCCUAGUUGCAAAAAGGAACACUAAGACUAUAGCCACUGGAUAAUGCUCUUGAAGUUCACGGCACUGUGGCAGCAUAAAGCUUGAACAGACCUAGUUUUUUUAUUGAUGGAGUGCAACUGAUAUAGCACCACCUUUCUCUGACACUGUAUAUUAGCUUUUAGUUACGAACUACUUCCUUCCAGUGCAGCAGUUGUUGCCUACCAUUGGUACCAGUUUGGCACCAUUAUAGGAAGAAUUUGGAGAGUUUUGGUAUGGUAAUCAAGAUGUGUAUUGUAAUAAUUAACUGAAUUCUGUGAACACACUGUUUCUACCUUAAGUGAAAGAAAAAGAGAACAGCUGCAAUUAUUUAUCUUCACUCAUUUCUCAUAGAUAGCCAGGAUUUUUCAGUGUACAUUCUGUUGUCCUGAAAUUAUUUUCAGUUCUUGUUGGUUCUUAUAGAUUAUAAUGAGAAAGGCAUGAGCAAGAAAUUUGAAAUAAAGAACACAAAAUG
This 1234-nucleotide long non-coding RNA is filed under the name Pongo abelii (Sumatran orangutan). RNAcentral describes it as "lincRNA". The record is from RNAcentral. Lineage: Eukaryota; Metazoa; Chordata; Mammalia; Primates; Hominidae.